RNAcentral lists this ribosomal RNA (497 nucleotides) under uncultured bacterium. RNAcentral's name for it is "partial 16S ribosomal RNA". It matches the Rfam family "Bacterial small subunit ribosomal RNA", at positions 28 to 507 of the family's 1533-position model. The record is from RNAcentral.
GAUGAACGCUGGCGGCGUGCCUAAUACAUGCAAGUCGAGCGAACGGACGAGAAGCUUGCUUCUCUGAUGUUAGCGGCGGACGGGUGAGUAACACGUGGAUAACCUACCUAUAAGACUGGGAUAACUUCGGGAAACCGGAGCUAAUACCGGAUAAUAUUUUGAACCGCAUGGUUCAAAAGUGAAAGACGGUCUUGCUGUCACUUAUGGAUGGAUCCGCGCUGCAUUAGCUAGUUGGUAAGGUAACGGCUUACCAAGGCAACGAUGCAUAGCCGACCUGAGAGGGUGAUCGGCCACACUGGAACUGAGACACGGUCCAGACUCCUACGGGAGACAGCAGUAGGGAAUCUUCCGCAAUGGGCGAAAGCCUGACGGAGCAACGCCGCGUGAGUGAUGAAGGUCUUCGGAUCGUAAAACUCUGUUAUUAGGGAAGAACAUAUGUGUAAGUAACUGUGCACAUCUUGACGGUACCUAAUCAGAAAGCCACGGCUAACUACGUG